UCGGGAAUUUUGGGCAAUGGGUGAGAGCCUGAUCCAGCCAUGCCGCGUGCAGGAAGAAGGCGUUAUGCGUUGUAAACUGCUUUUUGCCAGGGGAUAAAAAGACCGUGCGCGGUUAAUUGAAGGUACCUGGUGAAUAAGCCACGGCUAACUACGUGCCAGCAGCCGCGGUAAUACGUAGGUGGCAAGCGUUGUCCGGAUUUAUUGGGUUUAAAGGGUGCGUAGGUGGCCCUGUAAGUCAGUGGUGAAAUAUCUCAGCUUAACUGAGAGGGUGCCAUUGAUACUGCAGGGCUUGAGUACAGAUGAGGUAGGCGGAAUUGACGGUGUAGCGGUGAAAUGCAUAGAUAUCGUCAAGAACACCGAUAGCGAAGGCAGCUUACCAAGCUGUAACUGACACUGAGGCACGAAAGUGUGGGGAUCAAACAGGAUUAGAUACCCUUGUAGUCCCUGAGCGGGCUGGCAAGGCGCAU
This 467-nucleotide ribosomal RNA is filed under the name uncultured bacterium. Its description in RNAcentral is "bacterial SSU rRNA". It matches the Rfam family "Bacterial small subunit ribosomal RNA", at positions 355 to 825 of the family's 1533-position model. The record is from RNAcentral.